RNAcentral lists this transfer RNA (73 nucleotides) under Stegodyphus mimosarum. It matches the Rfam family "tRNA". From Rfam's summary of the family: Transfer RNA (tRNA) molecules are approximately 80 nucleotides in length. The record is from Rfam by way of RNAcentral. Lineage: Eukaryota; Metazoa; Arthropoda; Arachnida; Araneae; Eresidae.
UCCUUCGUGGUGUAGUGGUCAGCACGUUUGGCGCGUAACCGAGAGCACUGUGGUUCGAUUCCCGGCGAAGGCG